UUCAUCCGACUAGUUUUUCUUCGCGAACUGAGCCUGAAGCCAGUCGAUGGUCUUCUUGUCCACUUGGAAAGCCUUGGCGAGGAUUUCAUCCGAGAUGGGGGGAUUCGACCCGAACACAGCAUCGGCGAUGGUGAUGGUGCCAGGGUUUUGGCUGCUGAGAGCACCGAUGGCGAAGGUGUUGGUGUGCCCAGGGUUGAACUGGAAGUGGAUGAGGCCUUGGGGGAACACAAACACAUCACCCUUCUUCAGCAUCUUGGUGAAGAGACGGUUGCCGUCGUCGCUGUUGGAUGUGACGAAGCCGACCAAGAGCUGUCCCUCUAUGACGGUGAGGAUCUCGGUGGCACGGGGGUGAGUGUGGGGCGGGUUGAGGCCAUUGGGGAUGUAGUCGAUGCGAACCAUGGAGAUGCCGAGGGUGUUGAGCCCUGGAAUCUGGAUCACGUUGGCAGGCGUGACAUUGAACCCGAAAUUGUUCUUUCCUGUAUCGCCGGGCAUGUCGAGGCCAGAAAGAGAGAAGUCGUCGGCUUUCACAACCAUGGGGUCCUUGCAGACGAAUCCAUUCACCCGCACUGCAACAGCAGAAGGAAGAAGCAAACUCGGUCGGUAAACAUGCAUCAGGAGAACAAACGCACCGAAGGAAAUUAAUCUGGAUACUAUGAAUACCUUUAGACAUCAUAUCUGCGACACAGAAGUCUUGAAGUUGGCUAGGAUCGGAAGCCAUUGCAAGAGAGGAAGCCAUGGCGAGGAGAACAAGGAGAAACAUUUCGGCGGCCAUCUGUAAUCUCUUAGAUGGAUGGGAUUACCUGGUGCCGUGAUACAGUGGCCUGGAAGAGACGGGUAUAUAUAGAGAAGCAGGCUCUGAAACAUUCAUGAUCAUUAGGUGAAGGAGAUGAAAAGUAUACCAUGUUAGGUUGCUUUCUUCUUGCAAUAUAUUUUCUAUAGCCGUCACCUCGUACGAGAUCCAUAUGAUGCACAGUAACCAUUAAAUUUGUUGACGUGUCUCAGUAACCUAAUCCAUGACCAUUUUAUAUGUAUAUAUAUAAUGAUGGAGCUUUUAGUUAGAUCAUGCUGUAGUGUAAAAUGGACUCUUACGUUCGACUGCAUAAUCCACCACGUGAGAUUUUUGUGACGACCUUACGCUACCAAACAAGAGGAGAAGUCAGCAAAGAUGUGGCAGCUGAACAGAACAAGCUAAGGACAGGUAGAAAGAACAAGAAGCCAAAGAUGUGAUUACCAAUUUGACCUUGUCGGGUCUUGUGUACUGCUACGGCUGAUACCGUGUAUUAUAAUUAAGGUGUUCUACGUCAUCUCCGACUAUUUUCAUCACACUGAGACGUCGCGUGCAUGUUGCAAAGAAGUAUGUAAAUACGUAAGUUCUUAAGAGAUUAUAAGUUGAUAUAAUGCUGUCCAAGAAUAGUAAGCAUGUUGAUAGUUGCCUCUACGUUAAACGCUUAUGGGAUCCUAAGUUAUUAAGAGAUCAUAAGAGAUUUUAAAAAUACUAAAUCUUCGUAUAUAGGUAUACAAGAAUAUUGUACGAUUUAGAUAAAAUCAAUUAUAUUCGUGAUAAAAAUCAAUGAGGUUAGGUGAGAUAAAAUAUUUUUUUUAAUUAAAUAUCUAAAGUAAAAUUAACAUAUCAACAUUACAUUGUUCACAUAAAAUUUAUAAUCAUAUUAUCUAUAAUACGAAAAAAAAAUUAUGUCAAAAUUUAAAAUCAAAUAAUAAUGGAUCUAAAUAAUAUUACGAUGCAUACCUUUCGUUGUUAUUUAGAAGAAUAAAUAUUAUCUGAUCUACAGGCGUAUCAUCGUCGGAUCUAAAUGAAAUACUUCUAUUUAGCCCUUAAGAUCAUAUCUAUUUAUAAACAAAAACAAAGAGUCUAAGAUAAGAUAUUAGAAGAAUUCCUCCCAUAAGGAUAUCCUUGGAAUCCUACUAUAAUAUGAAUUUUUUUUUUAUUAAUCAAUAAUCAUAAUCAGAAUUCAAUCAUAUCUAUAAUAUAUUUUACCUAAUUAAAUAUGACCACACAAUCUAACACUCAAUCAUAAAUCCACGAAUCAUAAAUCCAUAAAAAACCAGAAUUUUUGAACUCAUUUCAACCGAGUUCCCAAAAAGUUUAUUAAGUAAAUAAGAUAUUAUUAUGAAUACAAAACAUUUUAAAGUUUUAUAGAUGAUAAUUCUUUUCUAGAAGGUUCUGCCAGCGAGGAUGAAUAAAAAAAAAAGAAAAAUAUCGAUAUAAUAUUUGUAAUUUAUAUAAAUAUAAACAUUUUUCGUCCAUCCAACUCAGCGACCUCUCUGGCAAUCAGAAAGAUUUCAAUAACGAUCAAACAAAGGCUAAUCGAUUAUUUCAGUCAUCAGAUUUUGGUGGCAACGACAUGUUACCAAACACCAUAAAGAAGCUCUCAAAGUCCGACCACGAGACAAGACAAAGUUGCCAGUACGAAUCCGUCUCCGUUCUUCGACCUCGUUCCAUACUGUAUAUUACGAUCGAAGUGAACUGUGUCAUCUUCAACUAUUUCACCAUCACACUGUUUAUAUAUUAUUAUGGUCUAUUUGUGAUCACAACAUAAGAGUUCAAAUUCAUAAUUAUAUUUCAUUUUAGUAAAUGAAUAAAUUGGAGUGAUUGAUACCGCCGGUUAUAGGUGGAUGCAAUCGAGCCAUAUACUACUACUGAACUUUGUAGAUCCCAUGUCAUACAAGUCAAGACAAAAGCACUCCUUUCGGGAAUUCUUGGUGAUGACUUGUUGAAGUUAUGAUCGUGUAUACAAUAUCUCAUGUUUCAGUCAUAAUAUUUGCAUAAAUUGACUUAUUACCGGUAUAUUUUAGUAAAGUUGUCUGCAUAGAUAUAUAAAGUUCAUGAACCUGAGGGAGGAUAAACAUAAGGUGGAUAAAGAAGUAUGCAUAUAUAUAUAUAAUAUGAGAUAUUACACUUUUUGAGGAUGCUGCACUCCAUAUAAUCUAUAAUCUUCCAGGUGGGAAAUACUAUCAUAUGAUCUAAAUAUUGAAAUAUGACUCAUGGAUUUCUUUCUUAAAAAUCAAGUUUUAUUUAUUAUAUUUAAUGACGUGUUUAUAUGAAAUUUGCAACAGUACACCAAUCGUAUGUCAAUAGAGAUGACUCGAGAAUUCUGAAACAUGACACACUUCAUACGUACUUUUCAUAACAUAGAAAGGUCUCUUAAUUCCAUUACAAUAGCAAACGCAAACAGGUAGUCCACUGUUUGCUUAUUCACACCAAAACACACGAGCUAAGAGUGCAGCUUAAUUCAUUCCUCCGACUAGUUUUUCUUCGCGAACUGAGCCUGAAGCCAGUCGACAAGCUUCUUGUCCACUUGGAAAGCCUUGGCGAGGAUUUCAUCCGAGAUGGGGGGAUUCGCCCCGAACACAGCAUCGGCGAUUGUGAUGGUGCCGGGGUUUUGGCUACUGAGAGCACCGAUGGCGAAGGUGUUGGUGUACCCAGGGUUGAACUGGAAGUGGAUGAGGCCUUGAGGGAACACAAACACAUCACCCUUCUUCAGCAUCUUGGUGAAGAGGCGGUUGUCGGUGUUGGAUGUGACGAAGCCGACUAAGAGCUGUCCCUCUAUGACGGUGAGGAUCUCGGUGGCACGGGGGUGAGUGUGGGGCGGGUUGAGGCCUUUGGGGAUGUAGUCGAUGCGAACCAUGGAGAUGCCGAGGGUGUUGAGUCCUGGAAUCUGCAUCACGUUGGCAGGCGUGACAUUGAACCCGAACUUGUUUCCGGUAUCGCCAGGCAUGUCGAGGCCAGAAAGAGAGAAGUCGUCGGCUUUCACAACCAUGGGGUCCUUGCAGACGAACCCAUUCACCCGCACUGCAACAGCAGAAGGAAGAAGCAAACUCGGUCGGUAAACAUGCAUCAGGAGAACAAACGCACCGAAGGAAAUUAAUCUGGAUACUAUGAAUACCUUUAGAGUCCUUAUCUGCGACACAGAAGUCUUGAAGUUGACUAGGAUCAGAAGCCAUUGCCAGAGAGGAAGCCAUGGCGAGGAGAACAAGGAGAAACAUCUCGGUGGCCAUCUGUAAUCUCUUAGAUGGAUGGGAUUACUUGGGGCCUUGAUACAAUGGCCUGGAAGAGACGGGUAUAUAUAGAGAAGCAGGCUCUGAAACAUUCACGAUCAUUAGGUGAAGGAGAUGAAAAGUAUACCAUGUUAGGUUGCCUUCCUCUCGCGAUAAUAUUGUCUAUAGCCGUCUCCUCGUACGAGCUUCAUCUGAUGCAGGGUAACAAAUAGGUUUUUUGACGCUGUCUCAGUGAUUGCUUGAAUGCAUGCGUUCGCCGACAAAGAAAAAUAGUUCUUUAGUUUAAUGCAUCCAACCUAAUCCAUGACCACAUCGUAUACACAAUAAUGGAGCUUUUCAACCUAAUCCGAAAUCCACCGGGUGAGAUUUUGGUGACGACGUCAAGAUACCAAGCACGAUGAGAAGUUUGCAAACAUGUGGGAGAUCAGGUGAACAAGAGCAAGGUUGUGUCAAAAGAACAAGACAAUAGUGUGUCGUUGCCAAUUUGACUUCGUCUGAUGCCGUGUAUUAUGAUUCAAGGUAUUCUUUGUCAGUACAAAGUAUGUAUGUAUGUAUAGCAUGCACAUCAGUGGUGACACCUUCCUUCCUUAUUGCGAUACCCAAUAUGACUGACUUCAUAUAAUGUUAAUCUUAGUACUUGAGAGAUGAAAAGAAGGGAAAAGAAUAGAAGAGAAUAAUAUCAUAUUCAUAAAAAUUGAGAGAAUGGAAUUACAUAUAUUGGAUUUAGCACACAUCCCAACAAGAUUAACUUUUUGGGUUAAUUAGGUUACCGAUCUAUAUAAUUUUUACCCUGGCUAAGUUAAUUUAUCAUGAUCGAUUUCGACAAAUGAGUCAAAAAGAUUAAAGGAUACAGAUAUUAGUGGUAUUUUUUCACCUAAAUUAUUAGACCAACUUGAUUUAACUUGGAAAAAGACAAAAAAAAAAAGAUUUUGGAAACUGUUAUACUGCCUAAUUUUGAGUCAGUUCAAUCCUCUUGAAUCAGUUUCAAUUCUCUUGAUUGAAUUAUAGGUCAACUCUUUCUCUCUCUCUCUCUCUCAUUUGGGAAAGUGAGAUCAUUUGUAAUCAAGCAAAAUUUCUUGCUCUGAAUAAAUAAAAAAAACUAUAUAUAUCAAUAAAUCUAUACUAUUUUUUUAGUUUUUCAAUUGAACUAAAAUUCACUGUGUGAUUUUGUUAAACCAAAAAUACAUCUCUUAUGAUAGAAAUAGCAUUUGCUUCAUGUAAGGUCUUGAUUUCGUUAUUCUUCAAUUGAUGUGGGAUUUAUAUUUUGUAUCUUGUCUUAAAAUUCAUAUACUUGAUCUAAAAUUUAUGAUUUUAUUAUUAUCAUUAAUUUUCUUUAUCGAAAGAUUAGAGUACACGUUAAACUGCCUAACACGAAAUCAUAUGAUUUUGUGCAUUCAAAGUGGACCCAAAAGACAUCUCAGGAUAGAAAUAACAAUUGUUUGGAACGAAGCAAGAGACAUAUUCUAUCGCAAAAACAAUUGCAAAUAGUUAUCCACUGUUUGCUUAUUUAAAGCACAUAAUUUCAGCACGUCAUGUCAACUUGCAACAACGAAGCUUUCUAGUUGUUGUUGUCCAUCCAGAACUGAGCCUGAAGCCAGUCGAUGGUCUUCUUGUCCACCUGGAAAGCCUUGGCCAGAACAUCGUCAGAGAUGGGUGGCUUCGACCCGAACACAGCGUUAGCGAUGGUGAUCGUGCCGGGGUUUUGGCUACUAAGAGCACCGAUUGCGAUAGUGUUGCAGUUGCCGGGAUUGAACUGGAAGUGGAUGAGGCCCUCAGGGAACACAAACACAUCGCCCUUCUUCAGCAUCUUGGUGAAGAGACGGUUGUCGGUGUUGGAUGUGACGAAGCCGACCAAGAGCUGUCCUUCUAUGACGGUGAGGAUCUCGGUGGCACGGGGGUGAGUGUGGGGAGGGUUGAGGCCUUUGGGCCCGUAGUCGAUGCGAACCAUGGAGAUGCCGAGGGUGUUGAGUCCGAUGAGCUUGUUCACGUUGACGGCAGUGACCAUGGAGCCGAGCUUGUUUACCGUGUUGCCGGCUUUGUCGAGUCCCAUGAAGAAGAAGUCUUCGGCUGUCACGUGCUUGGGGUCUUUGCAGACGAAUCCAUUCACCAGCACU
This 6131-nucleotide long non-coding RNA is filed under the name Musa acuminata (dwarf banana). RNAcentral's name for it is "long non-coding RNA (MACU_LNC002928)". Lineage: Eukaryota; Viridiplantae; Streptophyta; Magnoliopsida; Zingiberales; Musaceae. The record is from RNAcentral.